GAAUAUUGGACAAUGGGGGCAACCCUGAUCCAGCCAUGCCGCGUGUGUGAAGAAGGCCUGUUGGUUGGAAAGCACUUUAAGCAGUGCAGAAGACUCCAUGGUUAAUAACCAUUGACGAUGACAUUAGCUGACGAAUAAUCACCGGCUAACUCUGUGCCAGCAGCCGCGGUAAUACAGAGGGUGCAAGCGUUAAUCGGAAUUACUGAGCGUAAAGCGAGCGUAGGUGGCUUGAUAAGUCAGAUGUGAAAUCCCCGGGCUUAACCUGGGAACUGCAUCUGAUACUGUUAGGCUAGAAUAGGUGAGAGGAAGGUAGAAUUCCAGGUGUAGCGGUGAAAUGCGUAGAGAUCUGGAGGAAUACCGAUGGCGAAGGCAGCCUUCUGGCAUCAUAUUGACACUGAGGUUCGAAAGCGUGGGUAGCAAAC
This 422-nucleotide ribosomal RNA is filed under the name uncultured bacterium. Its description in RNAcentral is "partial 16S ribosomal RNA". It matches the Rfam family "Bacterial small subunit ribosomal RNA", at positions 359 to 773 of the family's 1533-position model. The record is from RNAcentral.